GCAGCCGCGAGGUGCUGCGCCGCAGGCCGAGCGGAGGCCCAGACGCCCGCGACGCCACGUGGAAGUAAGAUGUACCUCCUUCGGUGCCAGGAUGAGUUGCAACAAGGGCUAUAACCUAUGCUCAUGGCACAUACGAAGAUUAUUCGUCGCUGAUAGAAAGGGGCUUUGGAUAACUUGACGGAUUUCCUAGCUUUGGUACUCAAGACCACCAUUGCAAUGGAGUCUUUGAAGUGGUUCAAGGCCAGGUAGCCUAAUUGGAAAGAGUUUCCAUGAAGAGUGAACUCUUAACUGCCUCUUGAAUUCCAUCGAAAUGGCAUCCUGACCCUUGCAGGCAAGAAAGAUCAUGAUGCAAAACAUUAUGCUGCAACAGGACUGAAAGGAAACUCACAAUGGACACCUGCCAUGAACACUGAGGAUGUGGGUAGUAGAUUACUCUUCAAAACCAGCAGAUCCCAAGAUGACAAUGCUACGAGAGAUGAAAAGUUCUACGGUGUAUGGUUAUUGAAGCAAAGGAUUUCCUACAGAGGAAUUUUGCUUUGUGGCAGUUACAUAAGCAGAAGUGAAAUACAAGAGUACCAGGAUAAGAGUGAUUUUGUGUAAGGGCUUGUACAUGUAUUCUUAAAUACUUAGAAUGUACAGGUUUUCUAAAAUAAAAAUAUAUUCAGA
Molecule: long non-coding RNA, 666 nt
Organism: Penaeus indicus
Lineage: Eukaryota; Metazoa; Arthropoda; Malacostraca; Decapoda; Penaeidae
Exons: 6
Source: RefSeq, a predicted model, not a curated record